Molecule: ribosomal RNA, 292 nt
Filed under: uncultured prokaryote
Description: partial 16S ribosomal RNA
Rfam family: Archaeal small subunit ribosomal RNA
Source: RNAcentral
GUGUCAGCAGCCGCGGUAAUACCGGCAGUCCGAGUGAUGGCCGAUCUUAUUGGGCCUAAAGCGUCCGUAGCUGGCCGCAAAGUCCAUCGGAAAAUCCACCCGCCCAACGGGUGGGCGUCCGGUGGAAACUGUGUGGCUUGGGACCGGAAGGCGCGACGGGUACGUCCGGGGUAGGAGUGAAAUCCUGUAAUCCUGGACGGACCGCCGAUGGUGAAAGCACGUCGCGAGGACGGAUCCGACAGUGAGGGACGAAAGCCAGGGUCUCGAACCGGAUUAGAAACCCCUGUAGUCC